UUUGCUUUCAUUUUUCUGAAA
RNAcentral lists this non-coding RNA (21 nucleotides) under Caenorhabditis elegans. The record is from RNAcentral. Lineage: Eukaryota; Metazoa; Nematoda; Chromadorea; Rhabditida; Rhabditidae.